RNAcentral lists this ribosomal RNA (285 nucleotides) under uncultured Anaerovorax sp. Its description in RNAcentral is "partial 16S ribosomal RNA". The stretch from base 47 to 285 matches the Rfam family "Bacterial small subunit ribosomal RNA", at positions 100 to 339 of the family's 1533-position model. The record is from RNAcentral. Lineage: Bacteria; Bacillati; Bacillota; Clostridia; Peptostreptococcales; Anaerovoracaceae.
AAGUUCAUAACAGAUGCUUCGGUUGAAGUUAUGAGUGGAAAGCGGCGGACGGGUGAGUAACGCGUAGGCAACCUGCCCUUUGCAGAGGGAUAGCCUCGGGAAACCGGGAUUAAAACCUCAUAAUGCUGAAGGAAGACAUCUUUUUUCAGCCAAAGAUUUAUCGGCAAAGGAUGGGCCUGCGUCUGAUUAGUUAGUUGGUGGGGUAACGGCCUACCAAGGCGACGAUCAGUAGCCGACCUGAGAGGGUGAUCGGCCACAUUGGAACUGAGACACGGUCCAAACUCC